AUUGAACGCUGGCGGCAGGCCUAACACAUGCAAGUCGAACGGUAACAGGAAGCAGCUUGCUGCUUUGCUGACGAGUGGCGGACGGGUGAGUAAUGUCUGGGAAACUGCCCGAUGGAGGGGGAUAACUACUGGAAACGGUAGCUAAUACCGCAUAACGUCGCAAGACCAAAGAGGGGGACCUUAGGGCCUCUUGCCAUCGGAUGUGCCCAGAUGGGAUUAGCUAGUAGGUGGGGUAACGGCUCACCUAGGCGACGAUCCCUAUCUGGUCUGAGAGGAUGACCAGCCACACUGGAACUGAGACACGGUCCAGACUCCUACGGGAGGCAGCAGUGGGGAAUAUUGCACAAUGGGCGCAAGCCUGAUGCAGCCAUGCCGCGUGUAUGAAGAAGGCCUUCGGGUUGUAAAGUACUUUCAGCGGGGAGGAAGGGAGUAAAGUUAAUACCUUUGCUCAUUGACGUUACCCGCAGAAGAAGCACCGGCUAACUCCGUG
This 490-nucleotide ribosomal RNA is filed under the name uncultured bacterium. Its description in RNAcentral is "partial 16S ribosomal RNA". It matches the Rfam family "Bacterial small subunit ribosomal RNA", at positions 30 to 507 of the family's 1533-position model. The record is from RNAcentral.